UUCUAGCCCCGAACGCAGCGGCAUCCCUGAAGCGUAGCGCAAGAAUACAGCGCAGCACGGGAACAAAC
Molecule: small RNA, 68 nt
Filed under: Pedobacter alluvionis
Lineage: Bacteria; Pseudomonadati; Bacteroidota; Sphingobacteriia; Sphingobacteriales; Sphingobacteriaceae
Description: Flavo-1 RNA
Source: RNAcentral